UUAGAUUAAUGUGAAGGUUUACUAUCAGCAUGUCUGCUUGACCUAUACAAAGAGACACAUUCAUUACAGCAAUUCCCACUGGGAGCUAAGCCAUGCUGAGAUCAAGGGCAUGCGUAAUAAAGACGGUACCUCUAACUGAGUUUGUGGUCCAUACAUGUCCCAGAUUUUUCUUCUUCGGACAUCAAUCCCUCUGCCUGGAUGCUGAAAAAAUUAAUUUUAGAAAUCAAAGGUUAACCUUAGUACUUCAUAAUAAGUUAGCAAGAACACAUUAAAGUUCUGCAGGCACUGCCAGCAGGACGAAGGGCAAGAGAAGAGCUUCCUGCCAGCAACUCAUACCCAUCCUGAUGUGUCCAGCGCACCAGGAGGGGUAUAAGUUGCUGGCAGGAAGUUCCAGGCACAAGACACCCACCCCUACUGACCGUGCUACCUGGGCAGGUGCCGCUCUCAGCCCAAGAGUGCUUUCACUGCAUCAGCUGAACAUCCAGAAAAUAAGGGCAAAACCCAGUACCACACACCACACUGUUCCAUACUGUUGUCUGUGUAUACAUGACUGGCCGUCCGAGCCAGAACUGAAGCUUCUCUUAUUUGUUUUUCUUUUUUUUGCAGAGAUGGGGUUUCACUAUGUUGCCCAGGCUGGUCUCAAACUCCCGGGCUCAAGUGAUCC
Molecule: long non-coding RNA, 664 nt
Organism: Homo sapiens (human)
Lineage: Eukaryota; Metazoa; Chordata; Mammalia; Primates; Hominidae
Source: Ensembl